AGAGUUUGAUCCUGGCUCAGGACGAACGCUGGCGGCGUGCUUAACACAUGCAAGUCGAGCGGAAAGGCCCUUUCGGGGGUACUCGAGCGGCGAACGGGUGAGUAACACGUGAGUAACCUGCCCUGGACUUUGGGAUAACCCUCGGAAACGGGGGCUAAUACCGGAUAUGACAUGCGCUCGCAUGGGUGUGUGUGGAAAGUUUUUCGGUCUGGGAUGGGCUCGCGGCCUAUCAGCUUGUUGGUGGGGUGAUGGCCUACCAAGGCGACGACGGGUAGCCGGCCUGAGAGGGCGACCGGCCACACUGGGACUGAGACACGGCCCAGACUCCUACGGGAGGCAGCAGUGGGGAAUAUUGCACAAUGGGCGGAAGCCUGAUGCAGCGACGCCGCGUGAGGGAUGACGGCCUUCGGGUUGUAAACCUCUUUCAGCAGGGACGAAGCGGAAGUGACGGUACCUGCAGAAGAAGCGCCGGCCAACUACGUGCCAGCAGCCGCGGUAAGACGUAGGGCGCGAGCGUUGUCCGGAUUUAUUGGGCGUAAAGAGCUCGUAGGCGGCUUGUCGCGUCGACUGUGAAAACCCGCGGCUCAACCGCGGGCCUGCAGCCGAUACGGGCAGGCUAGAGUUCGGUAGGGGAGACUGGAAUUCCUGGUGUAGCGGUGAAAUGCGCAGAUAUCAGGAGGAACACCGGUGGCGAAGGCGGGUCUCUGGGCCGAUACUGACGCUGAGGAGCGAAAGCGUGGGGAGGAACAGGAUUAGAUACCCUAGUAGUCC
Molecule: ribosomal RNA, 771 nt
Filed under: uncultured bacterium
Lineage: Bacteria
Description: bacterial SSU rRNA
Rfam family: Bacterial small subunit ribosomal RNA
Source: RNAcentral